GUUAUGGUAGCUUUAAAUGUGAAUAUUUCCUGUACCUUCACAAACCUGAUUCUCUCUCAUAUAUUUAGUCUUAAUGGGUGUGCUAAUGUUCCAAACUUCCUUAUUUAUGGUUUUCCUAAACGUGGGAAAAACAGACAUUCAGUUCCUGUCUACUAUAAAGCCAGAGCAGUACAGCUUUACAGCAUUCUCUGCCGAGAUGCCUUCUCUCUUUUGUCGUGGACUGUGGAUCCCUUUCCUUGAUGUUAUUCUCACAACCCAGGAAAUAUCCUUGCUUUCCUCUGUAAGCUUAUGUUCUCCCGUUACCCAAAAAGAUGACUUCCAGCCCUGAUGUAGUUUAUCUAUAGCCGACAGAUGCUUAAGUAUGUGUGUAAUUUUCUUGCUUGUUCUAGUGCAAGAUUGUUUCCUUAGCCUGAAAUAGCAGAUACUUGCUAUGCUUUCAUUGAAAUAAUGAAAAAUUAUUUGUUGUCUUGCUUUUGUAAAGUUUUUAGUCUGGUAAAAUUUUUGAAAACUUUCAUGAAGUCCUCUCCCUUCAUUCUUUUUUCUAAUUCUCAAACACUAGUUGUCUUUUAGUCCUUGAUAUUAUAAAUUCUUUUGCAUUAACUGUAUUUUCUCCAGCCUUUCAAGUCAGCAGAACUGGAUACAUUAUCCAAAAUGGGAGUAGCAGGGUAUUUGCUGGAAAGUUGCAGGGCAUACAUGGAGAACUUCUAGGGAAAGGAUGGAUAUAUAUGCAGUAAUGGGAUAUGUAACUGCAACCUGUAAUCUUACAGGUUGAAUACACCAGCCUAAAAGGGCUAUCAGGAGUCUGUGAAGUUUGGGAUGUCUGCAUGAUUUGUGGUGCUUUGUGAUCUCUGUUACUUGGGAACUGGAAUCUGUCUGUUGGUGACAGCAGCCCUGCAGAUGAGGAGUCUCAAAGCAUGGACCAGCCCUUGCCUUUUUCCUGCUCUUUCGCUAUUGAAGUUGUAAGGACUGGUUCAAAGUGUCAUCAUACAUCAACAGCACUGUGGACUCCGAAGGGUGGAUGUGUAUCUCUUCUUGAUGUGACUCUUUGGGUUCAAUUCCUGCACUGUGGAGGAUGGCAGGAACUGGACUUGCAGCUCAGAGCUGUGUGUCACCCCCAUGUGAGCAUCAUCCUAUGGGGGAUGCAUGGCUGCAAGCUCCAUCCCUGACAGUAUUUCACCACUUACCAGGCAAGAUUUACCCAACUGCACAAAAGGCAGUCACCAGUCCUCUUCCCUUUCUCUAUCAAUUUCACACAUCUUGACUGUCAGUGCUGGCCGGGGUGCUCACAACCACUUCUUGACCAAUUGCUGCCAUCAUUAGUGUUAAAUACCUUGAUAUUUUUUUUUUAUGCCUUUAAAUGUGUGUUUUGAAAAAGACUUCUCGGAACUUAUUAACACUUCAGAACUAAAAAAAGUAAGCUUUGGGAAGUGAUUUUUUUCCCCUUUGCAAUACAGUUAGCAUUUCUGCCCACUUCAGUUUUCCCCCCUGGCUUAAUAAGUUUUAGGAAAUAUCAAACUCCUUUUAGGGGAGAGGAUAGCAGAUUUUAUUGGAUCUCUGAACUUAAAUGAGAAAAUGCAGAACAGCUCAGGAAGCUUCCCUGAGUGCUUCUUAAAUUUUCUAAUUACUGCUUAGCUGAUACAAACCUCACAGCCAAAGUACAAAUAUUUUGAGGGUUAAAAGCUGAUAGUGGGAUAUUAACUGUCUCUGCUUGGAACAAGUGUGUUAUUAAAUACGGUUCAGAUCUUACAGAUUUAAUAAUGCAGUUAAUGUCAUAAAGAUGAUCCUCAUCUCAGUUCUGCAAGCAAAAACUCUCUAGGAGCUCUCUUAAUUUGCUGUUGAAUGCUGUGAGGAGGUGGGGGUGCAGGUUUACAGAGAGGAGGAAAAGGAGUGGAAGUUUGCAGGGCCCAGCUGGCAGACGGGGCUCCAUCAGCUGUCACCGCAUGAUGCUGAUCCCAAGAAGCUCAGAGGGAAGCUCUGGGUACCAACCAGAAUAAUGCAUGUUUGAAUCCAGUGAGAAGAGGGACUGGGUGACACUGGCAAUUUCUUUGGCCAGAGCAUGACCCUCUCCUCCCAAGGCCACAGGCAAGGGCUGCACCAAGUGGCAGUGCCGCGGGUGGGGACCUGACCUUGUGCUGUGUGUUUUCCAGGCUUUACAUUGAGGGGCUCUGGUCUGUUCCUGCAGCCUGAGCUCACCUUGGUGAUAGGACCAGGUGAGCCAGUUCAGUUUCAUCCUAGAGCAGUCUGGUCUGGGUGCCCUGAGGCCACUCUGCAAUGUCAAAUGAAGUGCAGGAGUUGCGGACAGCUGGAGGGUUUGCUUCAAAAGUGGGAGCAAGAGAGGGAAGUGCCUCUUGGCAUUGCUGCUUUGUCUUCUUGGCUUUUUAGGCUUACAUGCUGAGCUUCCCCACUGCUUGUGCUGUCCCUGUGCCACUGAUUCUCUAAGUCACAAGUGGAGAAGUUUGCACUGGUUUCAUCCAUGCAUGUGGAAGGCGAAGCAAACCUCUCAUGUGCUCAUAGUCUGAAGGAUUACAUUUUACAAAGUGUUGUGGCUUAAUUUUUUCUGUUCUUCUCUCCAUCCUGCUGCUCCUUUGUUUUCCCCUUGCUCCACAGCAGACAUUUUCACCACUUAGACAUAACCACAACACACUUUUUAGGGGAGUUCCAAAUGGAACCUGCUGGUCCAGCGGUUCAAAGGCUGGUUUCAGGCAGCCAUUGAUCUUAAUAGCACUAACAUGAAGAAAAAAGGAAACCCAAAGAGUGCUAUUUAUCAUCUCAUCUGGAAAGAGAAGAAAACUGAAGUUAAUUAUUUUUCACUUACCUGGAAGGGUUUGGAAUCUGGGGAGUCCACCGAGCAGCAAACCUUUAGUAGGUUCCCAUAUUAAGCCACAACUUUCUUCAACACACUUCUGUAGAUUAAUUUUUGGGGGGUUAGAUUUUAAGGAUUUAUUUCUUAUGUCAGUGGCUGUUAAGCAUCCUGCUGGAGGAAAUCUCGAAAGACAUCGAUUUGUAGAUACAGCCCUUUUUAUGUGGGACAAAAUACAGAGACCUGUAAGCAAGCCAAUAUUUAAUUGUAUGGUCUAAUGGCUCCAAAAUUUAGUUAUAGCUUCCUUUAAUAAAACAAAUUUGGGGUCUUUUAUGAUGAUUCUAAAAUUAGAACACGCCACACCUUAUUGCUGUCAGUUCACUUUGUGAGAUGAGUCAACAACCUUGCACGUUUGCUGCAGAAAUGCCCUUUUACUUCUGCUUUGAGGUUCUCAGUUGAAAAGACUUUUUGAGAAAUGGCUAAACUUGACUCAAUGUUUAAAUCACAAUUGUUUUUAUGGUCUCCCUUCUAACAGGAGAAUUGUUGUGGCUGUUUCAGACCAACAGACGGACAGUAUAAUGGAACGUAAGGAAUGCUCAGGGAAAGAGUACGAGAAGCAGAAAGAGCUCAUAGAGCUUAUAGAGGUCCUGCUUGUGGUUCCCCUUGCAGCAUCUGCCUGCUCAGAAAUGCCUGGCCAAGAGCUGUCAGCCCCCUACCUUCAAUAGCUGCCAGAGCCUGUGAAUUUGUCUUUACUUUCCUUGAGCCCAUGUAGGAUUUUCACCUUCAGGGAGUCCUCUGUCAGUGAGUUCUGCAAAUCAGCUGCAUCUGUCCCCAUAAAGAUGUCUCCUGGCAGGCAGAAAAUAGCCUGAGGCUGAUGUCCCGGGUCGAGCCUGCAUAAAUCCUGACUGAAAGCAGGGAGAGCUGCCCAGUCAUUGAUGGUAACACUGGUUCUUAAAUUUGGGCUUAAGACUCAAGCUUUAGGUGCCUAUAAUGGGAAGAUUUUGUGAUUUCCACAACAAGCAUUAACUAUGAAUUUCAUGGCCGAGAAGGUGCCAUGAUUCUAGCAAGUGGUAGAAUACGUGAUCUUACAGCACUGGGUUGGAAACCUCUCUGGUUCUGCAUCUGCUACCCAGUUUCUGUGCAACCCUGACGCGCCCACCCAUCUUCUUCUGAAAAGGAGAUAGAGAUGUUACUAUUGACUUAUAAACUACAGAGCUCCCAGCACAACAGGGCAGGCUGCCUGGCACAAUUCACUGUCUUGGUCCUUAUAGAAGCUUCAGAGGACGAGAUAGUGGCUCAGCGACCGUCGCUUCCAGCCUGGUAUCUUAACUACUGAGCUACUGUGUGUUUCCAACCAGCCCUUUCCUACAGCACAAGCAUGGCAUGAGGCUUAAUUCAUUAAUGUCUGUAAGUGUUUGAAGAAAAAGCAGAGUGAAGGUGAUAGAAGAGAAGCACAUUUGCUUGUUGGGCAGCAGCAGCUGGAAUAUCUCAGUGCUGCAGUCAUAUUUGAUGGUACGUGUACUUUGCUUCAGGAAUGCUGCCAAAUGCCAUUUUAUUCCUAACUCAGAGCUCUAUGCAGAUGAAAAAUGUUAAUUUCCACGCCUUUUUUUUUUUGGCCAAAAGGUGUCUGCAGGUUUUUAUGCAGCUUGACCAGGCUGGGACCAAGGCCCAGUUCAGAGCAAAAAGCACUACUGGGGAUGAAGAUGAUGUUUGUGCUUGAAGUCAGGGCUUUACCAAGUGGCUCUGACAAGGAUGAAGGUAGAAGUGGUGUUUCCCUAGCUAACUCCCCCAGGAUUAAAUGACAGAAUUACAGUCUGACCCCCUCCCCACGGCCUCAAGAAGGGGUAGCUUUCUGUUACAUGUUUGUUCAUAUUAGCAGAGGGGUUUUAUUAGCCCUUUGUCAUGGUUCCUCGUUAGCCUUCAAGUCAGGUGGGGCAGUUCAAGGACUGUGGUUGGAUCAGGAUUUUCUCCAAUUUUGUGUGACAGGAAAACUUUCUCCUCUGUAUUUCUUUAACCUCGCUGGUUCUCUUUCACCUUUCUUUUUCCAGCAAAUGGAAAGCCAUGAGCUCCAAGGACUGCAGAUCAUUUUUACAGGUACACAAACAGAUCAGCCCAUUUGCUAACAGCCUCGGCGCUGACACCACAGUAUCCAUGGCAACACACCAGCCUGCACAAGCAUCUGCAGACGCUUUGAAAAUCAGAAAUACCGAGUGAUGACAAGGAGCCGCUUCAGACAAUGGAUGUUUACAGGUGUCACAACCACCUGAAAUACUUCUCUCCCCACCCAUCAGCUCCUUGAUUAUAACAUGCUUUACAUUUUUCUUGCAGCUUCUUUGUCAGAAUAUAAGAUUCAAGGCAGAAUUAAUCCUCGUUUUGAUUUUUUCUGUUUAGAGCACUGACAGAGGUACCUUAUGGGAAUGAGCACCCCAAGCUCCGCUGUUAACUUUCCUCUUUGAACUGGGUCAGAGUACAGGUUCUUUAAAUGAUAAAAUCCAAAGUCAUAACUGAAAAAAAAUGGCCUGCGUCAACCCCAGCUAACAGAUGUUGUGUGACUGCCAUGCUGAGUGGUGGUUUGCUCAAUUGACUUGCGUGAAUUAUUACUUUCCUAUAGUGACAACAGAUUAAAUAAGAUCCUAUCAACCAUUUUUUGGGGAAUAUUUGAACGUAAGUUCAUCUACCCGUUGACAGAGACUAUGUACUGUGUUUACAGCUGUUAGUCUUCAUCGAUCCCAUCAGUACUUCAGCUCUGCUUUCAGGAGAUAACAUUCAGGCACACAGGCUGCCUUUCUGAAGCUGGUUGCAGCAAGUGUAUCUGUUCAGUAAACUGGGUGCUUACAUGCAAAACCAUCUGUAAUUCAGAUUGGAUAGCUGUAUGUGGGGUACUCAUUCGUGCACCUGGAUAACUGUGGGCAAAUAUAUGGGCAUAAGGGGGCAUGAAUUUACAGAUAUAAUGUAUGUCCUACCCUUCAGGACUCCACCCUCAUCUUUCACGUACAAAGCAGACCAUUAGAGUCACAUGCUGAUGAUGACCCUGAAUGAGGAGCAGUUUCGUAACACAGCAAACCAACAGGUAGUCUUCAGACAUUUAGGACCACCUUCCUCAGGCUGGGGAAGUAUUUUUGCCACACUAAUAUGAGAUGGAUAUGCUCAUGAAACAGGCUGAGGCCAUUCUCAAACCAGACCGCUGCAUUUGUUGAUUGCACAAAAGUUGGAUAUGAGGUUGAGUUUGAAGUUGGGUCACAGGAAAGAGCCCAAGUACAUCAAUGCAUAACCUCAAGCCACUGUUUUGAUAAGAAAAUGGCCCACCAUUCUGUCUGCAAUGUUUCCCCUCUCUUAACAAGU
Columba livia (rock pigeon) is the source of this 6142-nucleotide long non-coding RNA. RefSeq lists it as uncharacterized. NCBI's taxonomy places the organism in Eukaryota, Metazoa, Chordata, Aves, Columbiformes, Columbidae. The record is from RefSeq and is a predicted model, not a curated record. The transcript is spliced from 4 exons.